CAGCACCUCAAGUGGUCAGGAUGAUUAUUGGGCCUAAAGCGUCCGUAGCCGGCGCUGUAAGUUUUCGGUUAAAUCUGUACGCUCAACGUACAGGCUGCCGGGAAUACUGCAGCGCUAGGGAGUGAGAGAGGUAGACGGUACUCGGUAGGAAGGGGUAAAAUCCUUUGAUCUAUUGAUGACCACCUGUGGCGAAGGCGGUCUACCAGAACACGUCCGACGGUGAGGGAUGAAAGCUGGGGGAGCAAACCGGAUUAGAUACCCGAGUAGUCC
RNAcentral lists this ribosomal RNA (270 nucleotides) under uncultured archaeon. Its description in RNAcentral is "partial 16S ribosomal RNA". It matches the Rfam family "Archaeal small subunit ribosomal RNA", at positions 477 to 747 of the family's 1478-position model. The record is from RNAcentral.